RNAcentral lists this ribosomal RNA (253 nucleotides) under uncultured bacterium. RNAcentral describes it as "partial 16S ribosomal RNA". It matches the Rfam family "Bacterial small subunit ribosomal RNA", at positions 524 to 776 of the family's 1533-position model. The record is from RNAcentral.
UACGUAGGUGGCAAGCGUUGUCCGGAUUUACUGGGCGUAAAGAGCGCGCAGGCGGUUGAUUAAGUCGAAUGUGAAAGCCCCCGGCUCAACUGGGGAGGGUCAUUCGAUACUGAUCGACUUGAAGGCAGGAGAGGGUAGUGGAAUUCCCGGUGUAGUGGUGAAAUGCGUAGAUAUCGGGGGGAACACCAGUGGCGAAGGCGACUACCUGGCCUGUUCUUGACGCUGAGGCGCGAAAGCUGGGGGAGCAAACGGG